UAGUCUCUCCAGUAAUGCAGCUAACGCAUUAAGCAUCCCGCCUGGGGAGUACGGUCGCAAGAUUAAAACUCAAAGGAAUAGACGGGGACCCGCACAAGCGGUGGAGCAUGUGGUUUAAUUCGAAGAUACACGAAGAACCUUACCUAGGCUUGACAUUGAGAGAAUCCGCUAGAAAUAGUGGAGUGUCUGGCUUGCCAGACCUUGAAAACAGGUGCUGCACGGCUGUCGUCAGCUCGUGUCGUGAGAUGUUGGGUUAAGUCCCGCAACGAGCGCAACCCCCUUUCUUAGUUGCUAACAGGUCAUGCUGAGAACUCUAAGGAUACUGCCUCCGUAAGGAGGAGGAAGGUGGGGACGACGUCAAGUCAUCAUGGCCCUUACGCCUAGGGCUACACACGUGCUACAA
Molecule: ribosomal RNA, 403 nt
Filed under: Helicobacter pylori
Lineage: Bacteria; Pseudomonadati; Campylobacterota; Epsilonproteobacteria; Campylobacterales; Helicobacteraceae
Description: bacterial SSU rRNA
Rfam family: Bacterial small subunit ribosomal RNA
Source: RNAcentral